Molecule: long non-coding RNA, 2330 nt
Organism: Cebus imitator (Panamanian white-faced capuchin)
Lineage: Eukaryota; Metazoa; Chordata; Mammalia; Primates; Cebidae
Exons: 2
Source: RefSeq, a predicted model, not a curated record
CACUUCAGCCUGGGCAACAGAGCAAGACUCCAUCUCAAAAAAAAAAAAAAAAAGAUCUGAGAUCCCUUGGUUUCUCUCAUGUUGAUCUGAGAUGCCACAUCAGGGCCCUUUCUGCUGUAUUAUCUCUGCCUGGGUGUUUAAGUCUCAACUUAAGUGUGUGGGUGUUUCCUAGAAACGUAUCCCUUGGGGCUCAGUGAUACUCUGGGAACCCUUGGGGUUUGGGGAAGGACUGUGGUAUGACUAUUGUCUUGACACGCUGUGGUUGUGGUUGGAGUCAUCCACGUGGACACGGUUUUCAGCUUGGAGCUGGGAUGGAGAAGGUGGAACUGCUGGGGGCCGGGCCUCCUUUUUCAGUGAGGCCAGUCCUGGUUUCUCCUCUGUUCCAGCUGCUCUGCCAGAAGCCCUCCCCUGCAAAGUGCCCACCUGCCUGGAGACAGAGGGAGCAACUGAGGCCUCUCUCCACCAGCCGGCAGCCUCCCCAGCACAGAGGACCAUUCAGCAAUGAGUGUUACUUAUGUUCUUUCUUGUUGAUGAGUUCUGCAGCCCAGCCUAUAGCAAUGGCUCAGAACCUUCCAGGUCUUGGUGAGAUAGGGCAGUGUCCAAUGCUCACAGGCUGUCCCUACUCUGCCUCUUGCCAUCUUCCCCUCAGGACCUGUUCAUAAAUUGGGGAACGGACGAGGGCCCUGGAGGGUCCUUGGGAGUAGUUAGUGGAGGGCAGGAUUCCCAGGUCCCCAUAGAGAGGGCAAGAGAAGCCCAGAUGUGCACAGAAGCCCAUCUCUGUCACACACACCCCAGUUGGUCACCGAGUUAUUUUCCAAAAGCUGAGGAACAUAAAUCCAAUUUAGGCUUUUGUCCCUCUUCAAUACGUGCACUUGAAAAUAACUAAACAAGCAGAAAAGAGAUGGUAAAUGACAAGUUUACUUCCUGUCGGCUAGCACCCUCAGCAUGGGAGCUGCUGCCGGAGGCUGGCAUAGCAGGGCAGCUGCUGACCAAACCCCACAGAACAGAGGGCACCAGGCAUCACAUGACAUCUAUCUCUGCCAUCUGUCUGGCAAUGGAAGGAGCUCCAGCAGGAGUCCUGUAGCCCUGAGUCAUCCUCUCCUAUACUAGGGCCUAUUUUAAUUGACCGUAGGGGCCCGGUACGGUGGUUCACACCUGUAAUGCCGGCAUUUGGGGAGGCCAAGGUGGGAGGAUUGCUUGAGCCCAGGAGUUGGAGACCAGCCUGGGUAACAUGGGGAGACCAAUUAACUGUAGGGGUUGUCCCUUGCUAGGACAGGAGCCGAAGACUGGGUGGCUGUGUCCUCAAGGCAGUCCCCUCCAACCCCCAUUCCCAAAGUCUGAAAACAAAACCAGAUCUCAAAGGGCUGAUUCCUGAGGCAAGGAGAGAGAAUGGGGGCGAGGUGGGGGCAAAUGCCUGCACAGGCCAACUGGGUCUUACUGAUCUGUACAAGCUGAUAGAAGGUCCACCUGCUGGAAUCCAGGGCUCCUGAGUUAUUGGGUUUGCCUGUGAAGCUUCUAGGACAAGGCGCAGCCAGAUGGAAGGCAGGGUCUGGGGCUUCCUGAAUGCAGCCACAUCACCUCUCAACUCACUGCAGGUUCGGAGAUUGUGGAAGUUACUCUGUACCUCAAAAGUGCAAAAGCAGAAUUGGCAACUUCACAUGUCUCAAGAGCUUCAAGAUCCUUUGGUCUUGUGUCCUUUGGCAUCCCAUAGCUGUAUGGGGGACAAAUUUGUACAUGUUUCCAAGGCUACAGACAUGGUGCCCUCCUCAUGGGCCUAGCUCAGGUACCUAGAUCAGGUACUUCUCUGGGGAAAUGAAAUGACCCACAUGAUCUGCUUCCUCUACCAUUGGCUUGAACUGGGCACCCCCUGAAGUCUCCAUCUUAGCUGUAUUUUCUGGUCCACAUUUGCCUGGCUCCCCCUGCGUCUGCCUGGGUCCUGCACACUGUCCUUUUGCCAACACCUCUGCCCUGUGUCCUGUUUCAUGUCUGCGUGGUAUGACACCCCUUCAUGGCAUACACAGCCACAGUAUGUACAUAUGUGCCCGUGUAUGUGCGUGUGUGUGUGUGUGUAUAGCAUGUAGCCCAUUCUGCUCGGCCUCUGGCACUGCUCCACAUUACUCCCAGCCCCACUGCUGUCACUGUUGUCCCAGAUGUCCUUGCCGUGGCCACAGACAAUCUGCCAUCUCCUGGAAGUGCUGGGGCUGCCCUUCAGAGCUGGCAGUCGCCAGCAGUCAGGGACUGCUUUGCAGAAUAGAAUGUGAACCCCUCUCCUGAUGGCCUACUUGACUUAUUUAAUUAAAAAUGAAAACAUGCAACGAGCAAGACCUGCA